RNAcentral lists this ribosomal RNA (1899 nucleotides) under human gut metagenome. Its description in RNAcentral is "bacterial LSU rRNA". It matches the Rfam family "Bacterial large subunit ribosomal RNA", at positions 508 to 2488 of the family's 2925-position model. The record is from RNAcentral.
GGAAAGGUGAAAAGCACCCCGGGAGGGGAGUGAAAAAGAACCUGAAACCCUGUGCCUACAAGCACCUAGAGCACGUCAAUGUGUGAUAGGGUACUUUUUGUAGAACGGUCCGGCGAGCGAUUGUAUGCAGCAAGGUUAAGGACUUAAGGUCUGGAGCCGAAGCGAAAGCGAGUUUGAAAAGGGCGUUAAGUUGCAUAUAAUGGGCCCGAAACCGGGUGACCUACCCAUGGUCAGGUUGAAGUGGAAGUAAAAUUCCAUGGAGGACCGAACCGACCUCCGUUGAAAAGGCGGCGGAUGAACUGUGGGUAGCGGAGAAAUUCCAAUCGAACCCGGAGAUAGCUGGUUCUCCCCGAAAUAGUUUUAGGACUAGCCUCAAGUUAGAUACCUGGAGGUAAAGCACUGAAUAGCCUAGCGGCCGAGAGGUUAGCGAAGCUUAUCAAACUCAGAAUGCCAGAGUAUUGAUGCUUGGGAGUCAGACAGUGUCAGAUAAAUGUCAUUGUCAAAAGGGAAACAGCCCAGAUCUACAGCUAAGGUCCCAAAGUCAGGUUAAGUGGAAAACGAUGUGAAGAUACGCAGACAACCAGGAUGUUGGCUCAGAAGCAGCCACUCAUUCAAAGAGUGCGUAAUAGCUCACUGGUCGAGCGUCUUUGCGCGGAGAAUUUAACGGGGCUAAACCUGACACCGAAGCUUAGGCAAUCCAGUAAUGGAUUGGGUAGGGGAGCGUUGUAUACGCGGAGAAACAGUAGCGUAAGCGGCUGUGGAGUGUAUAGAAGUGAGAAUGCCGGAAUGAGUAGCGCGAAUGCAGUGAGAAUCUGCAUGGCCGAAAGCCUCAGGUUUCUGGAGGAAGGUUCGUCCGCUCCAGGUUAGUCGGGAGCUAAGGUGAGGCCUAACGGCGUAGCCGAUGCACAGACGGUAGAGAUUCCGUCACCACCAAAAGAGUUAAGCACAGGGACACAUUUGAAGUCUCAGAGCCGGGUGUUGGUUCCGGUAGAGAUCGAGGGAAAUUAGUACCGAAGUCUGAGAUGGAAGAUGGCGAGAAAAGCUGUGUGUAUUUCUGAGGUGCCCGUACCGCAAACCGACACAGGUAGGUAGGAAGAAGAUUCUAAGGCCAACGGGAGAAGGGUUGUUAAGGAACUCGGCAAAUUGACCCCGUAACUUCGGAAGAAGGGGAGCCUCGAAAGAGGCCGCAGUGAAUAGGCCCAAGCAACUGUUUACCAAAAACACAGGUCUAUGCUAAAUCGAAAGAUGACGUAUAUGGGCUGACGCCUGCCCGGUGCCGGAAGGUUAAGAGGAGAGCUUAGCGCAAGCGAAGGUUUGAAUUGAAGCCCCGGUAAACGGCGGCCGUAACUAUAACGGUCCUAAGGUAGCGAAAUUCCUUGUCAGGUAAGUUCUGACCCGCACGAAAGGCGUAAUGAUUUGGGCACUGUCUCAACAGCCCGCCCGGCGAAAUUGUAGUACCGGUGAAGAUGCCGGUUACCCGCGACAAGACGGAAAGACCCCAUGGAGCUUUACUGUAGCCUAAUAUUGGGUUUCGAUGUUGCAUGCACAGGAUAGAUGGGACACAGGGAAACAGGAGCUUUGGCUUCUGCGGAGUGGCCGUUGGGAUACCAUCCUUGCGAUAUUGGAAUUCUAACCUGCGGCUCUGAAUCGAGUCGGGGGACAUUGUUAGGUGGGCAGUUUGACUGGGGCGGUCGCCUCCUAAAGAGUAACGGAGGCGUUCAAAGGUUCGCUCAGCUUGAACGGAAAUCAAGCAAAAGAGUGCAAACGCAGAAGCGAGCCUAACUGCGAGACUGACGGGUCGAGCAGUAACGAAAGUUGGAGUUAGUGAUCCGGCGGUAUGUGAGUGGAAAUGCCGUCGCUCAACGGAUAAAAGCUACCCUGGGGAUAACAGGCUGAUCU